RNAcentral lists this ribosomal RNA (450 nucleotides) under uncultured bacterium. Its description in RNAcentral is "partial 16S ribosomal RNA". It matches the Rfam family "Bacterial small subunit ribosomal RNA", at positions 354 to 796 of the family's 1533-position model. The record is from RNAcentral.
GUGGGGAAUUUUGGACAAUGGGCGCAAGCCUGAUCCAGCAAUGCCGCGUGCAGGAAGAAGGCCUUCGGGUUGUAAACUGCUUUUGUACGGAACGAAAAGGCUCUGGUUAAUACCUGGGGCUCAUGACGGUACCGUAAGAAUAAGCACCGGCUAACUACGUGCCAGCAGCCGCGGUAAUACGUAGGGUGCAAGCGUUAAUCGGAAUUACUGGGCGUAAAGCGUGCGCAGGCGGUUUUGUAAGACAGAGGUGAAAUCCCCGGGCUCAACCUGGGAAUUGCAUUUGUGACUGCAAGGCUGGAGUGCGGCAGAGGGGGAUGGAAUUCCGCGUGUAGCAGUGAAAUGCGUAGAUAUGCGGAGGAACACCGAUGGCGAAGGCAAUCCCCUGGGCCUGCACUGACGCUCAUGCACGAAAGCGUGGGGAGCAAACAGGAUUAGAAACCCUGGUAGUCC